RNAcentral lists this non-coding RNA (21 nucleotides) under Caenorhabditis elegans. The record is from RNAcentral. Lineage: Eukaryota; Metazoa; Nematoda; Chromadorea; Rhabditida; Rhabditidae.
UUAAUGAAUAAUUAACUGUUU